AUUUAUAUAGUUUAUUAUUUAAAACCUUUCAUUUUCAGUGAAAAAAAAACUACUAAGUUUAUAAAUU
This 67-nucleotide transfer RNA is filed under the name Agramma hupehanum. Its description in RNAcentral is "tRNA-Glu". The record is from RNAcentral. Lineage: Eukaryota; Metazoa; Arthropoda; Insecta; Hemiptera; Tingidae.